Molecule: ribosomal RNA, 502 nt
Filed under: uncultured bacterium
Lineage: Bacteria
Description: partial 16S ribosomal RNA
Rfam family: Bacterial small subunit ribosomal RNA
Source: RNAcentral
AUUGAACGCUGGCGGCGUGCUUAACACAUGCAGGUCGAGCGGUAACAGGCGUAGCAAUACGUGCUGACGAGCGGCGAACGGGUGCGUAAUACAUGGGAAUCUGCCCUUUGGUGGGGAAUAACCCGGCGAAAGCCGGGCUAAUGCCGCAUAAGAUCUUCGGAUGAAAGCGGGGGAUCGUAAGACCUCGCGCCGAUGGAUGAGCCCAUGUCGGAUUAGCUAGUUGGUGAGGUAACGGCUCACCAAGGCGACGAUCCGUAGCUGGUCUGAGAGGACGGCCAGCCACACUGGGACUGAGACACGGCCCAGACUCCUACGGGAGGCAGCAGUGGGGAAUAUUGGACAAUGGGCGAAAGCCUGAUCCAGCGACGCCGCGUGUGUGAAGAAGGCCUGCGGGUUGUAAAGCACUUUCGAUGGGAACGAAAUGUGUCGGGCUAAUACCCCGGCAAGCUGACGUUACUCAAUGAAGAAGCACCGGCUAACUCUGUGCCAGCCGCCGCGGUAA